Molecule: ribosomal RNA, 661 nt
Filed under: SAR86 cluster bacterium BACL1 MAG-120920-bin57
Lineage: Bacteria; Pseudomonadati; Pseudomonadota; Gammaproteobacteria
Description: bacterial SSU rRNA
Rfam family: Bacterial small subunit ribosomal RNA
Source: RNAcentral
GUAACAUAACAUGAUUAUAAUUGAAGAGUUUGAUCAUGGCUCAGAUUGAACGCUGGCGGUAGGCUUAACACAUGCAAGUCGUGCGAGAAAGUAUCUUCGGAUAUGAUUAGAGCGGCGGACGGGUGAGUAACGCGUAGGAAUCUACCUAGUAGAAGGGGAUAGCCCGAGGAAACUCGGAUUAAUACCGUAUACCUCCUUCGGGAGAAAGAAGGCCUCUCUUUGAAGCUUUCGCUACUAGAUGAGCCUGCGUAAGAUUAGCUUGUUGGUGAGGUAAAGGCUCACCAAGGCGACGAUCUUUAGCGGGUCUGAGAGGACGAUCCGCCACAUUGGGACUGAGACACGGCCCAGACUCCUACGGGAGGCAGCAGUGGGGAAUAUUGGACAAUGGGCGCAAGCCUGAUCCAGCCAUACCGCGUGUGUGAAGAAGGCCUUAGGGUUGUAAAGCACUUUAAGUUGGGAAGAAAGGUUAUUGGCUAAUACCCAAUAACUGUGACAUUACCAUCAGAAUAAGGACCGGCUAAUUCCGUGCCAGCAGCCGCGGUAAUACGGAAGGUCCAAGCGUUAAUCGGAAUUACUGGGCGUAAAGCGCGCGUAGGUGGUUUAUUAAGUUGGAUGUGAAAUCCCCGGGCUCAACCUGGGAACUGCAUUCAAAACUGGUUCA